RNAcentral lists this ribosomal RNA (859 nucleotides) under uncultured bacterium. RNAcentral describes it as "bacterial SSU rRNA". It matches the Rfam family "Bacterial small subunit ribosomal RNA", at positions 8 to 883 of the family's 1533-position model. The record is from RNAcentral.
AGAGUUUGAUCCUGGCUCAGGACGAACGCUGGCGGCGUGCUUAACACAUGCAAGUCGAACGGUAAGGCCCUUCGGGGUACACGAGUGGCGAACGGGUGAGUAACACGUGGGUGAUCUGCCCUGCACUUUGGGAUAAGCCUGGGAAACUGGGUCUAAUACCGAAUAUGAUCAUGGCCUUCAUGGGUUGUGGUGGAAAGCUUUUGCGGUGUGGGAUGGGCCCGCGGCCUAUCAGCUUGUUGGUGGGGUAAUGGCCUACCAAGGCGACGACGGGUAGCCGGCCUGAGAGGGUGUCCGGCCACACUGGGACUGAGAUACGGCCCAGACUCCUACGGGAGGCAGCAGUGGGGAAUAUUGCACAAUGGGCGCAAGCCUGAUGCAGCGACGCCGCGUGAGGGAUGACGGCCUUCGGGUUGUAAACCUCUUUCAGCAGGGACGAAGCGCAAGUGACGGUACCUGUAGAAGAAGGACCGGCCAACUACGUGCCAGCAGCCGCGGUAAUACGUAGGGUCCGAGCGUUGUCCGGAAUUACUGGGCGUAAAGAGCUCGUAGGUGGUUUGUCGCGUUGUUCGUGAAAACUCACAGCUUAACUGUGGGCGUGCGGGCGAUACGGGCAGACUGGAGUACUGCAGGGGAGACUGGAAUUCCUGGUGUAGCGGUGAAAUGCGCAGAUAUCAGGAGGAACACCGGUGGCGAAGGCGGGUCUCUGGGCCGAUAUUGACGCUGAAGAGCGAAAGCGUGGGGAGCGAACAGGAUUAGAUACCCUGGUAGUCCACGCUGUAAACGUUGGGCGCUAGGUGUGGGGUGCCUCUCCGGUGUCCUGCGCCGUAGCUAACGCAUUAACCCCCCGCCUGGGGAGUAC